RNAcentral lists this ribosomal RNA (339 nucleotides) under uncultured Bacillota bacterium. RNAcentral describes it as "bacterial SSU rRNA". It matches the Rfam family "Bacterial small subunit ribosomal RNA", at positions 28 to 351 of the family's 1533-position model. The record is from RNAcentral. Lineage: Bacteria; Bacillati; Bacillota.
GACGAACGCUGGCGGCGUGCCUAAUACAUGCAAGUCGAGCGGAGUUAUUUUGGAAGCUUGCUUCCGAAAUAACUUAGCGGCGGACGGGUGAGUAAUACGUAGGCAACCUGCCUGUAAGACUGGGAUAACUGCCGGAAACGGUAGCUAAUACCGGAUAAUUCUUUUCUACACAUGUAGGAAAGCUAAAAGACGGCUUACGCUGUCACUUAUAGAUGGGCCCGCGGCGCAUUAGCUAGUUGGUGAGGUAACGGCUCACCAAGGCCACGAUGCGUAGCCGACCUGAGAGGGUGAUCGGCCACACUGGGACUGAGACACGGCCCAGACUCCUACGGGAGGCAG